GUGCUCGCUGCAGCAGCACAUAUGCUAAAAUUGGAACACUACAGACAAGAUUAGCACAGCCCCUGUGCAAGGAUGACACACAAAUUCGUGAAGCAGUCACAUUACAA
RNAcentral lists this small nuclear RNA (107 nucleotides) under Catagonus wagneri (Chacoan peccary). Lineage: Eukaryota; Metazoa; Chordata; Mammalia; Artiodactyla; Tayassuidae. The record is from RNAcentral.